Molecule: small nucleolar RNA, 148 nt
Organism: Pongo abelii (Sumatran orangutan)
Lineage: Eukaryota; Metazoa; Chordata; Mammalia; Primates; Hominidae
Gene: U3
Rfam family: Small nucleolar RNA U3
About the family: Small nucleolar RNAs (snoRNAs) are involved in the processing and modification of rRNA in the nucleolus.
Source: Ensembl
AGGACUGUACUUUCAAGGAUCAUUUCUAUAGUUUAUUACUAAAGAAGUUUCUCUGAACAUAUAAAGCAAAACAUUUUUUAAGAAGAAAAAAUAGACCAGAUGCCAUGGCUCACACUUGUAGUCCCAGCACUUUGGUAGGCUGAGGUAG